UUUAAAUUGCUGUGGUAUUUUGACUAUACGAAGGUAUUGAAAUAAGGCUUUAAUUGAGUGCUAAGAGAAUGGUUUAACAAAAAUUAACUUUUUUUCAAUUUUAAAUAAAAGUUAAUUUAAAAAUGAAAAAGUUUUUAUGAAAAUUUGGGACAAGAAGACCCUAUGAAUUUUUUUUGUAUAAUUAUUUAUUAUUUAUAGUAAGGAAAAUAAAGUAGUUUUACAAGUUGAUUGGGGUGAUUUUUAAAGAAUAUGUAUCUUUAAAAUAGAAGAAAUUAGUACCAUUACUUUUGAUUAUUUGAAAAAAAUACUCUAGGGAUAACAGCGUAAUUAUUUUGGAUAGUUCAUAUAGAUAAAAUAGUUUGCGACCUCGAUGUUGGA
This 378-nucleotide ribosomal RNA is filed under the name Alectorobius lahillei. RNAcentral's name for it is "Ornithodoros lahillei partial 16S ribosomal RNA". Lineage: Eukaryota; Metazoa; Arthropoda; Arachnida; Ixodida; Argasidae. The record is from RNAcentral.